UGGGUUGUUUCUCUUGUGCGAGCGUGGGCCUGGCAGAGUUUUUGUCUGCCAUGUUCUCUUGUUUAAUAGUAGUGUAGAUUAAAGAGGGUACUUUCUUACUUGCUGAUCACUGAAUGCGUGAGUGAUCAUUAUUAUGUUGGAUUGGUAGAUGUUGUUUGAUGCCAUAAAAAGGCUCUGUACCUGAAUCAACUAUAGAGUGCCCAAAGAAAGAAGAAAUAAACACUUUUGAUAAUUUAGCACCAUUAAAAAAUCGAUGAACUAACCUUUUUUUAAAGACUCUUCUGGGAUAUGUAGGUCAGCGAUUCUACUGAGUUGGGGGUUCUCAAACAGUUUGACAUUUGGCUUGGUGAGGCUUUUAGGUGAGGUCAGUACCAUGUGCAUUUGCCAAGGCUUCAUGGUACGAUUUCAGGUUUAGGUC
Triticum urartu is the source of this 418-nucleotide non-coding RNA. NCBI's taxonomy places the organism in Eukaryota, Viridiplantae, Streptophyta, Magnoliopsida, Poales, Poaceae. The record is from RefSeq and is a predicted model, not a curated record.